This is a long non-coding RNA of Rattus norvegicus (Norway rat), 728 nucleotides long. The record is from Ensembl. Lineage: Eukaryota; Metazoa; Chordata; Mammalia; Rodentia; Muridae.
GAAGAACAGUGAAGCUUCAGGGAAGUGGAUCACUAAGGAAAGCAGGGUGUGCAAAGGACCUGGGGCUAGAAGGGCCUGGACAGGUGUAACUGCUCUCCAGGGAUGCAGCUGUGAAAGAGGCGAGGACUCAGCUCACUCCAGAGCCGACGGAACUCAGAGAAGCAGAGUCGCCGGACCAAGCACUGCCCAAGAAGAGGGAUGGGGACCAGGCGGUGCCGGGCUACGGUGGUCCUCCGGGUGCCAUAAAUGCUAAAAUCACCCAUCUCCUGUAAUCCUGCAUCUGUGCUCUCAAGAGUGAGAUGGUUAAGUUCACCGCUUUGUGGAGCUGGCUGCGGAUGGCUUCUGUGUGGUCCUCUGUCCCGGGAGAAGAUAGAGCGCAGGCUGAUGGGAAGGCUCAGCCGGUGAAGACACUCGCUUCCACACCUGUGGCCUGAGUGCAAUCCUGGUGAGCUUCAUGGUGGAAGCAGAGAACUGAGGCCAUAAGGAGUCCUCUGACUGCUACAUCUGUGCCUCGCACACUCUCCCAGUAACUAAAACUGUCAUUAAAACCUUAAAAGGGGCUGGAGGGAUGGCUCAGCGGUUAAGAGCACUGCCCGCUCUUCCAGAGGUCAUGAGUUCAAAUCCCAGCAACCACACGGUGGCUCACAACCAUCUGUAAUGGGAUCGGAUGCCCUCUUCUAGUGUGUCUGAAGACAGCGACGGUGUACCCACAUACAUAAAAUAAAUAA